UUGGUGAGGAGCCUGCCUUCAGGACUAGGGGCCUGAGCAACAGCCUUGUUAAUGGAAACAUCCUCAUCUGGCACAUAACUGAGUCUCCUCCUCCAUGAUGUAGCAGAUUUAAGCAAAUGGUGAUACCAAUUGCUUAGUAUAUAAAUAAAUAUUUAAGUAUUUUUUCAAGGAAAUUCCACGAGAUUACAAACUGUGGGACCUUGUAGAGUCCAAUAUAUUGACAAAAGUGCCCACCCAGAACUGUGACUUGAUCAACAGAUUCAACGUAAGAUAGUUUUGAGAAGGCCACUUAUGUCUGCUUUGUAAAUCUUUACAGGGUUCAUUCCUCUCAGGGGAAGAAAAGCUAGCAAAGGAAGGAUCAAUCCUAGUAACAGCUGCAGCUGUCACCAAUCAUGACAUGCUAAAAAGAGCUGUGAUUCAGCAUGAAGAAACAAUUAGCCUGUUCCCUCCAGAGCCCAAGAUGGACCUUUGGAGUAUCUACCCAGCAUUUCCCCCAUUUGGAGCAGUUGAGGUACGAAGAUAUGCUAAGAUGUGGACGGCUAUCCUUCACCUUGGACACACUACCAGCUUUUCUGAACACUGCCCAAAAGGGCUCUUGAAGAGGGACGCAUGUAUCUGGUUCCAGUACUAGGAUUGGCAGAAGCAGCUCCUGCCCUGAGCUGAGGCUCAGGUUGGCCCUGAGUGACACGAGCACCUUUGGAGAGUUGGGGAGCAGUGACUGAAGCUUGGGGACCACUCUGGCUGCUCUGAGAUAAAAAGACUACAGGGACUCAGGACUGGGAAUAUGGAGAACAGAGGAAGGAGUACAUCUGUGAACAGUGACUUCCACCUGCAUUAAGGAAAAAGCCUCUUUCUGAAUCAACUCGUUUCCCUUCUAAUUCACACUGAAGACUCACACUAUGGUGACUGCCCUAAAUAAAUUCAUCAAGGCGAAUUUGUGCUUUUUCUGGACUAAACUUUGUGCUCUGACUUAAAAUAACAGUCAUUUUAGACAACAUUAUUAAAUCUAUCUUAUUCUAA
Dipodomys spectabilis (banner-tailed kangaroo rat) is the source of this 1020-nucleotide long non-coding RNA. RefSeq lists it as uncharacterized. The transcript has 4 exons. NCBI's taxonomy places the organism in Eukaryota, Metazoa, Chordata, Mammalia, Rodentia, Heteromyidae. The record is from RefSeq and is a predicted model, not a curated record.